This 460-nucleotide ribosomal RNA is filed under the name Centipeda noxia. Its description in RNAcentral is "bacterial SSU rRNA". It matches the Rfam family "Bacterial small subunit ribosomal RNA", at positions 28 to 465 of the family's 1533-position model. The record is from RNAcentral. Lineage: Bacteria; Bacillati; Bacillota; Negativicutes; Selenomonadales; Selenomonadaceae.
GACGAACGCUGGCGGCGUGCUUAACACAUGCAAGUCGAACGGAGCGAAUGAAAGCUUGCUUUUAUAAGCUUAGUGGCAAACGGGUGAGUAACACGUAGGCAACCUGCCGACAGGAUGGGGACAACAUUCCGAAAGGAAUGCUAAUACCGAAUGAAGUCGAGGGAGGGCAUCCUCCUCCGAUGAAAGAUGGCCUCUAUAUAUAAGCUAUCACCUGUCGAUGGGCCUGCGUCUGAUUAGCUGGUAGGUGAGGUAACGGCUCACCUAGGCGACGAUCAGUAGCCGGUCUGAGAGGAUGAACGGCCACAUUGGGACUGAGACACGGCCCAGACUCCUACGGGAGGCAGCAGUGGGGAAUCUUCCGCAAUGGGCGCAAGCCUGACGGAGCAACGCCGCGUGAGUGAAGAAGGUCUUCGGAUCGUAAAGCUCUGUUGAUGGGGACGAACGUGCCUAAUGCGAAUAG